Molecule: ribosomal RNA, 250 nt
Filed under: uncultured prokaryote
Description: partial 16S ribosomal RNA
Rfam family: Bacterial small subunit ribosomal RNA
Source: RNAcentral
UACGUAGGGCGCAAGCGUUGUCCGGAAUUAUUGGGCGUAAAGAGCUCGUAGGCGGCUUGUCGCGUCUGCCGUGAAAACCUGCAGCUUAACUGUGGGCUUGCGGUGGGUACGGGCUGGCUUGAGUGCAGUAGGGGAGACUGGAAUUCCUGGUGUAGCGGCGGAAUGCGCAGAUAUCAGGAGGAACACCGGUGGCGAAGGCGGGUCUCUGGGCUGUUACUGACGCUGAGGAGCGAAAGCAUGGGGAGCGAAC